Molecule: RNA transcript, 4055 nt
Organism: Trichomycterus rosablanca
Lineage: Eukaryota; Metazoa; Chordata; Actinopteri; Siluriformes; Trichomycteridae
Exons: 6
Source: RefSeq, a predicted model, not a curated record
UAACGUUGUGUUUUCAGUACCAUGUCUUAAUAUAUUCGGGCGUUAUGUUUUAUUAAGCAAACGUAAAAAGUGUUAAUUAUUUUCAGCUGGUGAGAAUUUAGUGACGCUUAAAAUGAUCUUAGAAACAUGCCCUUAUUGUGGAAGGCCUUUUAAAAGGCUUAAAGCUCAUCUUCCUCACUGCAAGUUGUCCCCAUGUACCAAGCCCACAAAAAGCAGUAACAUUCUUAAAGAAAUCCAGACUAAUACUUCUCAAAAAAUAACUAAUAAUAUAAAGACUAACAAGAAGCUGAAGAACUCAUCAUUUCAGACUAACUCAAAAACAAACCAAAAACCCAAAUCUAAAGACUUUGGAAAUGCCAUUGUGGAUAAGCAAAACUGUUUGACCAACGGUCAAGAAACUGUGACUGAAGUGCCAACAGCAGAGGGGCUUACCACAGACACUGUAAAGCCCAAAAUGAAAUGGCUUGCAAAAAGAGAGGAAGAGAUGUUGAAACAAGCUAACUUUUUAACAUGGAAAGAAAUCAAAUUAAAAUCUAUUUCUAAGCAGGAAGACCAUAACAGAAAAACAAGUCCAGAGAAAGAAACACCUCUGUUAAAUACAGCCAAUACAACCACAAUAACCACCAACAUAAAAACCACUGAGAGCUUCAGGGUUAAACAAACCUCACCAACACCUAUAAUACAUACAGACAUCUUGGAGCAGAUACAGUCUAUCCCAGAGAAUUUCACCAACGACUAUUCACUGAAUCAAAAAAUCCAAGAGCAAACAGAUGUGACUUUCAUGCAAGCCAAGACUAGUGUGUGGGACCACAUUAAAUAUGGACUUCAUGACAGGAGAUCAGAUUGUGUUCCAUUGAUACACAAAGUGUGUAAGUGGAAUAAUCUUGUAGAUCAUACAGUGAAUAAUGAGAAUGCUACAAUAGAUAGUUCAUCUUUGCAGGUGCUACCAAAUGUCCAAACCUCAUCCCAAAGGCCAGUUGAACAGAUUCUUAGUUCACAGCUGCAAAACAUUAACAUUAUGGGGUACACACCUGACAUGGCAACUGGCUAUAAGGCACUAUUCUUUUCACCUCAUUCAGAAAUGACCUAUAAUGAGGAUUUAUUGACCAAGCAUCAGUCUUCAAAGUCAUCUCCUCAGAGUCAAGAUUAUAUAAAAGAGCAGAAACUGGGAGAUGUGAAACUGAGAGAGGCUGCUGUUUGGCUUGGCUCUCGGGCACCAACUUCAUCAAGAGAGGCCAUGGCAAUGCUAAACAAAGGUUGGCAGUGGUAUUACAGGAAGUACAUAGAUGUCAAGAGAGGAGGAAUUGGUGGGAUUGCAAUGCUGGUUGCUGGUUACUGUGUCCUAAGUUAUAUAUGGAAUUACCCCCAUCUUAAGCAAGAACGCUGGAGAAAGUACCAUUAGAGUAUGAAGAAUAUGAAGUGUUUGAACCAUAAUGACCUCAGACUGCUACGGCAAAAUAUGAAGCUUCAAGAACAGAGUCUGUGUCUGAUAUUUGAACAUGACUAUGAGCUGUGGAUUGGACCUGACUAUGAGCUGUGGAUUGGACCUGACUAUGAGCUGUGGAUUGGACCUGACUAUGAGCUGUGGAUUGAACCUGACUAUGAGCUGUGGAUUGGACCUGACUAUGAGCUGUGGAUUGGACCUGACUAUGAGCUGUGGAUUGGACCUGACUAUGAGCUGUGGAUUGGACCUGUCCUGAGGGACAGAGCUGUUCAGAGCUGUGCAGGGAAUGGCUGGGAGAUGUUGAGUGAUGAGCAGGGUGAACGUGUUGGUGGUUCUGACUGCCAUUGCUGCUACUGAUGACAUUACUGGCCCUCUUUUUCUUAAUGUUUAUGCUGAUCUUGAUGGGGGCUUCUUUGUGCCCCCCACCCCCUGGAUCCUCAUGUGUGUAUGCUUCUGUCCUAUAACCAGGUUUUAUGGAGCCCCCUGUCCUCUCUUCAACGCCUUCAGUAUGUGUCGUGUUUUGCCUGGGUGAUGUCUCCAAUAAACUGGGAAUCCCUUUAUGAUGACUUGAAUCUGUGGAUCCUUUUGUGUUCAAAAGUUUUUUCUUAGGCCCACAGCAGAACUCCUCUAGAAAGCUGUCUGCAAUGCAAGGAUAUGCUUUAUUAAUACUGGCAAAAAAAUGUAUGCAGUAUUUGGGUUUAUAUGCAUGUGAGCCGUUUUGUUUUUACCUGGGUCUACAAGAAGCAUCCGUUUGUCUUGAGUCAGGUUGUUCCGUUCCUCUUGGUUAAACGUCCUGUCGAUCAUGACUAUUUCUGAUGAUGGGUUACACCGCUGUAAAACAGUAUUGUAUCUUAAGCAGGUUUUUAAACUGAGUUAACAAAAAGUAAAACAAAAAACUAAGCUAAUGAGUAACUAAUGACUUUUAGGGUCAUUAAUGUCUAGUUUUAAAUAGACAAUGCCUGGCCAACUUCUGCACAUUACAACAACAUGGUUACAGAAUCAGAGAGUGUGUGGGCUUCACAAGCCUGCCUGCUGUCCAGACCUGUCUCUUGUUGAAAAUGUUCGUAUGUAAAUAAUGUGUUUUUUGAAGUGAUGUAAAGAUAAAGUGAUGUAACGUGGUAAACAAGCUCCUGUCCUAACUUUUCAGGAACAUUUUAGGUAUCACAUUUGGAUUUUUUUUUUUUUUUUUUGCAACUUGAGAUUUAGGUUCCGGUUUAUACUGAAACAUAUUGGCUGAGACAGUUCUUUGGGGCCUUCUUUUAACUGUUUUUACAUAUGUUUGCUGCUAAUGUGUUACGAAGAAGUCAUUUUGCUACAUCGUCUACUAAUGUUUUGUGUUUUACAAAAUGACAAUGUGGGCAGUUUAGCUAUGCUUAUAGUAAAAUGAAUGUGUUCUAAAGGGACAUAACCAACGAUACUAAAGCAAAUUGUCUGUUUAAGUCAUUGAAAGCUAUUUGUUUAAAAAUAUUUAAUGGUUAUGUUUAAAAUCCCCAAUAAUAAUAAUAAGGUGGGGCCUUUUAGGCAUUUUCAGAAAUGUAUUUUUACAUUGUCCAUCAAGGGGUUUGGGGGUUGUGCCAUUUUGACACAUACUAUUUCUACGGAUAUCAACCUUUGUGAUUUUAAAGAGAAACCUUAAAUACGUGUUUGGAUAACACAAUCGAAUUUAAAGUAUCACAUUGAAUAUCAAGCAUCACAAUCGAAUUUAAAAAGAAAAAUGGGAUUUAGAUGUCCUUAGUUAUGAAGUUUGUUAAGACUAUUUCAGAGAUUUGUUUUUUUACUGUAAGAUGCUCCGAAGUAAUCCUACCUCUGCCUCCACCAUUAGCAAACGCCUGUAUUUGUUCACCAUUGACUGUGUUUUCUGCAACACCUGAGUGGCAACAGCCUCAAAGUCUUCAUCAACUGCAAUAACAAACAGCAUUAAGAGCUUGAAUCUCAAACUUCCUUUCAUUUUAAAUUCAAAGUGAAGUGAAUCUUACCUUUUGCAAAAUCCUCCUCGCAAGGUGGUGUUCCUUGGAACACGUGAUAAGGCAACAAUCUUUGAGCUACAUCGUUUAAUGAAGUGAAUGGUGAAUGGUUUGGAGUCAUGACCCCCAGGUGAUCCCUCCUGAGCUGCUCAAGAAACCUAUACAAAAGUUAUUAUAUAGUUUUAGGUCAGUCAUGCAGAUGUCCAUCUUGGGUCAAACAGUGUUAGAUAGACAGCAGAGAUUGACAGCUUUUUACACAUGUCUCUGAUGUUCACUUUUGAUCAGAUUUUACUAUUUGCAGAGCUGCUAAAUCUUGAAACAAUGUCUUUCUCAAUGUCUUUCAAGGUAAGCCCUUAACAGGCCUAUAGCAAAACUAUAUUUAGAAACAACAAGGUUAUAAAUUUAGGCACAUCAUACAGCCAGGUGUCAGUGGGGCCUAAUACACCGCCCAUUAAAAUGAGAUGUGUGUAACUUACAUUCCUGCUUUACUGAGCUGCUGAUUUGCAGGUCUCUUUAAAGAUUCCUGGUUGGCAGGACUGUUUACAUCUGUAAAUGUUAACAUUAGGUUACUGUUUGAAUACACUGUUCAAAAAAUAUAAUAUUAAAAUGUUAAUAAAACAUCAUACUUUGGUUACCAAGAAGAUUAA